CCUUCGAUAGCUCAGUUGGUAGAGUGUUGGACUGUAAAAUCGCUGGUUCAAAUCCGUCUUGAAGGA
This 66-nucleotide transfer RNA is filed under the name Salmo salar (Atlantic salmon). It matches the Rfam family "tRNA". Rfam says of the family: Transfer RNA (tRNA) molecules are approximately 80 nucleotides in length. Lineage: Eukaryota; Metazoa; Chordata; Actinopteri; Salmoniformes; Salmonidae. The record is from Rfam by way of RNAcentral.